This 71-nucleotide transfer RNA is filed under the name Cavia porcellus (domestic guinea pig). It matches the Rfam family "tRNA". From Rfam's summary of the family: Transfer RNA (tRNA) molecules are approximately 80 nucleotides in length. Their secondary structure includes four short double-helical elements and three loops (D, anti-codon, and T loops). The record is from Rfam by way of RNAcentral. Lineage: Eukaryota; Metazoa; Chordata; Mammalia; Rodentia; Caviidae.
UACAGUGUAGCUCAGUGGAAGAGUGCUUGCCUAACAUACAUAAAGCCUGGGUUCAAUCCCCAGCGCUGUAA